This 83-nucleotide transfer RNA is filed under the name Candidatus Methylomirabilis lanthanidiphila. It matches the Rfam family "tRNA". Rfam says of the family: Transfer RNA (tRNA) molecules are approximately 80 nucleotides in length. Their secondary structure includes four short double-helical elements and three loops (D, anti-codon, and T loops). The record is from Rfam by way of RNAcentral. Lineage: Bacteria; Methylomirabilota (SeqCode); Methylomirabilia (SeqCode); Methylomirabilales (SeqCode); Methylomirabilaceae (SeqCode).
GCCGAAGUGGUGGAAUGGUAGACACGCCGUCUUGAGGGGGCGGUGGGGUUACACCCGUGGGGGUUCGAGUCCCCCCUUCGGCA